AUGCUUGCGAAACAAUGCUGGAGGCUGAUAACUAAACCAAAAUCUUUGGUGGCGAGAGUGCUUAAAGAAAAGUAUUACCCAAAUGGGUCUCUACUGGAGGCAACACCAAAGAAUGGCUCCUCGUUUACUUGGCAAAGUAUUCUGAAAGGGCUUGACACCUUCAAAAAAGGUCAUAUAUGGAGAACUAGAAUUGGAGAGAAGGUAAACAUUUGGAGAGACCCAUGGAUUCCAUCUAGUGUAGACAGAAUGAUAAUCACUCCAAGAGGUCAAACAAUCAUUACGAGAGUAUGUGAAUUAAUUGAUCCAGUUAAUGGGCCAUGGGACGAAGCCUUGAUUACAGAGUUGUUUAAUCCGGUGGAUGUUCGUAGAAUACUCCAGAUUCCAUUACAUUUGCAAGGUUUUGGUGACUUUAUUGCUUGGCACCCGAAUAGAACAGGAAUGAUUUCCGUCAGAAGUGCUUAUCAUAUGCAAUGGAUGCAUAGGUUUCGGGCGCAUGCAACGAUGGAGGGACACCCUGGUGGGUCUACACCAUUGGCAGUCUGA
Molecule: ribosomal RNA, 543 nt
Filed under: Triticum aestivum (bread wheat)
Lineage: Eukaryota; Viridiplantae; Streptophyta; Magnoliopsida; Poales; Poaceae
Description: partial small subunit ribosomal RNA
Source: RNAcentral